RNAcentral lists this non-coding RNA (24 nucleotides) under Mus musculus (house mouse). Lineage: Eukaryota; Metazoa; Chordata; Mammalia; Rodentia; Muridae. The record is from RNAcentral.
UUAGUCUCCUGGACCUGCUGUUUU